RNAcentral lists this ribosomal RNA (253 nucleotides) under uncultured bacterium. RNAcentral describes it as "partial 16S ribosomal RNA". It matches the Rfam family "Bacterial small subunit ribosomal RNA", at positions 524 to 776 of the family's 1533-position model. The record is from RNAcentral.
UACGUAGGGUGCGAGCGUUGUCCGGAAUUACUGGGCGUAAAGAGCUCGUAGGCGGCCAACUAAGUCAGACGUGAAAUCCCUCAGCUUAACUGGGGAACUGCGUCUGAUACUGGAUGGCUUGGAUUCGGGAGAGGAAUGCGGAAUUCCAGGUGUAGCGGUGAAAUGCGUAGAUAUCUGGAGGAACACCGGUGGCGAAGGCGGCAUUCUGGACCGAUAUUGACGCUGAGGAGCGAAAGCCAGGGGAGCAAACGGG